RNAcentral lists this transfer RNA (75 nucleotides) under Campylobacterota bacterium. RNAcentral describes it as "Epsilonproteobacteria bacterium (hydrothermal vent metagenome) tRNA-Gly". It matches the Rfam family "tRNA". Rfam says of the family: Transfer RNA (tRNA) molecules are approximately 80 nucleotides in length. Lineage: Bacteria; Pseudomonadati; Campylobacterota. The record is from RNAcentral.
GCGGGAGUAGCUCAGGGGUAGAGCACAACCUUGCCAAGGUUGGGGCCGCGGGUUCGAAUCCCGUCUCCCGCUCCA